CCUACGGGUGGCAGCAGUGAGGAAUAUUGGUCAAUGGGCGCGAGCCUGAACCAGCCAAGUCGCGUGAGGGAUGAAGGUUCUAUGGAUCGUAAACCUCUUUUAUACGGGAAUAAAGUGUGGGACGUGUCCUAUUUUGUAUGUACCUUAUGAAUAAGGAUCGGCUAACUCCGUGCCAGCAGCCGCGGUAAUACGGAGGAUCCGAGCGUUAUCCGGAUUUAUUGGGUUUAAAGGGUGCGUAGGCGGCCUUUUAAGUCAGCGGUGAAAGUCUGUGGCUCAACCAUAGAAUUGCCGUUGAAACUGGUGGGCUAGAGUAUAGUUGAGGCAGGCGGAAUGCGUGGUGUAGCGGUGAAAUGCUUAGAGAUCACGCAGAACCCCGAUUGCGAAGGCAGCAUACCGGCGGCGAUCUGACGCUGAGGCACGAAAGCGUGGGUAUCGAACAGGAUUAGAUACCCUUGUAGUC
This 460-nucleotide ribosomal RNA is filed under the name uncultured bacterium. RNAcentral's name for it is "partial 16S ribosomal RNA". It matches the Rfam family "Bacterial small subunit ribosomal RNA", at positions 338 to 795 of the family's 1533-position model. The record is from RNAcentral.